Molecule: ribosomal RNA, 260 nt
Filed under: uncultured Enterococcaceae bacterium
Lineage: Bacteria; Bacillati; Bacillota; Bacilli; Lactobacillales; Enterococcaceae
Description: partial 16S ribosomal RNA
Rfam family: Bacterial small subunit ribosomal RNA
Source: RNAcentral
UACGUAGGUGGCAAGCGUUGUCCGGAUUUAUUGGGCGUAAAGCGAGCGCAGGCGGUUUCUUAAGUCUGAUGUGAAAGCCCCCGGCUCAACCGGGGAGGGUCAUUGGAAACUGGGAGGCUUGAGUGCAGAAGAGGAGAGUGGAAUUCCAUGUGUAGCGGUGAAAUGCGUAGAUAUAUGGAGGACACCAGUGGCGAAGCGGCUCUCUGGUCUGUAACUGACGCUGAGGCUCGAAAGCGUGGGGAGCAAACAGGAUUAGAUAC